GGUCGGGUCCCAUGCAAGCGACGUACGCGAACCGGGUCAGAUUCGGAAGAAAGCAGCCCUAAGCGACUGCGGCGCUGUGCGUGGCAAACCCGGCCACC
RNAcentral lists this signal recognition particle RNA (98 nucleotides) under Phycisphaerae bacterium. RNAcentral's name for it is "signal recognition particle sRNA small type". It matches the Rfam family "Bacterial small signal recognition particle RNA". From Rfam's summary of the family: The signal recognition particle (SRP) is a universally conserved ribonucleoprotein involved in the co-translational targeting of proteins to membranes. Archaeal SRP consists of a 7S RNA and homologues of the eukaryotic SRP19 and SRP54 proteins. Lineage: Bacteria; Pseudomonadati; Planctomycetota; Phycisphaerae. The record is from RNAcentral.